Molecule: transfer RNA, 64 nt
Filed under: Diaphanes nubilus
Lineage: Eukaryota; Metazoa; Arthropoda; Insecta; Coleoptera; Lampyridae
Description: tRNA-His
Source: RNAcentral
AUUUAAGUAGUUUAUAAAAAACAAUGAUUUGUGGUGUCAUAGAUAUAUAAAAUUAUCUUAAAUU